CAGAGAGUCAGACAUGACUGAGCGACUGACCAACAACCCUGCUGGGUGAGGCUGGUCUGGAGGCUUGUGCCUGCACAGUGGUGGUUAGAACUGGGUUUUGACCCUUUUGUGGGUAAAGUCACGUCGAAAGGCAUGUGUACAUGAAGGCUUUGGACAGCCUGUCUGCUGAUGGUUAGGGCUGCAUCUUGGCCCUUUCAUCAUUUGGCCUUAGGGGGCCCAUUGCUGUAGCCUACAGGUUCUGAGUGGAGCCAGUGUUGGGCCAAGAUGGAGACCUCAUGCAGAUGAGUGCUGUCUCAUAGUUCUGCCCUCAGGAUCUGUGUCCCCACAGUGAGCCACAGCCCACCCCCCACCCCUCAGAGAUCCUUCAAGACCAGCAGGCAGGUCUCACCAUCCAGGAUCCUAGCAAACAGUUGUAUUUUGACCUUCAUCUCAGCUUCAUCUCAGUGUGCAUGAGGCUUCAUUUGCACCUGUUAAGAGUGAAGUCUCUUGUUUUCCCCAUUCCUGUGGGGCUCCUGCAGUCAGGGCCCACUGGUCUUCAGAAGUAAAUGUUAAAGAUUUCUUUGGCCUUAUUCAUUGAUUCGUGGGUUGGCCAGCAUCCCACCUGGUAAAUAAACAGGUGCUCCUAGAAGCUGUCUGUCCUCUUUACACCAAGGUGUAUAUGAAUCAGUGGGUUGUUUUUAAACUUUCGUGACCUGAAUAUGCUCAUAAGUGCCAUGAUGUGUACAAAGUAGGUGCAGCAUAAACAUGAAGAAGCUGAGUUUCUUUCGGAGUGGGGUUUACUUCCAUGAAAAAGCUGAAAUGGCAAAAUGGUGAAAUGAAAUGCUUAAUUUGGGAGUUGGCUGUGCUCAGGUGCUUGAAAGUGAAGUGAGUAGAGUUGAACAAGCACACAAUGGAGGGAAUGAGUAUGGAUUUCAAUUGUAUUUUGUAACAGGGAAAUAGUCUCCAGUGCCAAAUGCCUGCAAGCCAUCCUGCCAUUUCUCAGUGUUGUGUUCACAUUCAGAGCCCGAAGAUCUUGCCGAGAAAAUGAAGGAACUUUAAUGGAACAAAAAUCACCCCAUCCCAGGAAGUGACUGAAUUGGAGCUUGAAUCCACGUCUCACCUCAAAGAUCUCUUCACCAUGUUGCUACACUGUGGCCCAGGUUGUUGGCAUGGCUACAGUAAUUCUUGUUGCAGUUGACAGGGCCGAGGUGCAGGCAGGCACAAAGCGUGGGAAAAGUCAGCUUGUCGCAGUUGUAUUUCUGGGGGAACAGCUGAGGGGAGGCUCCCUGAGGUGGCACCUCAGGCAGCAGACCAAGUGCAGGUGGACUCUCUGCAUAUAGUAAUUCUGAGAGAGUAGGGCUAUUCACCAGCUCUGUGCCCACAACAGUCAAAUGCUGCUGGUCAGUUAGGAUAACCUCAGUGUAUUAACAAAGAUCUGUUGGAAGAACUUAAAAGAAAAACCUGAACAAAACUGUUUGGCCAGUCCACUAUAUAUCUGUGUCCAGUGGGCUGCCUCCCAGAAGAAAAAGACAAGGAAUAAACAUUUCAUUAAUGUA
Non-coding RNA from Odocoileus virginianus texanus, 1535 nucleotides. NCBI's taxonomy places the organism in Eukaryota, Metazoa, Chordata, Mammalia, Artiodactyla, Cervidae. The record is from RefSeq and is a predicted model, not a curated record.